Molecule: transfer RNA, 76 nt
Filed under: Pseudenhygromyxa sp. WMMC2535
Lineage: Bacteria; Pseudomonadati; Myxococcota; Nannocystales; Nannocystaceae
Description: tRNA-Thr
Rfam family: tRNA
About the family: Transfer RNA (tRNA) molecules are approximately 80 nucleotides in length. Their secondary structure includes four short double-helical elements and three loops (D, anti-codon, and T loops).
Source: RNAcentral
GCCCUUGUAGCUCAGUUGGUAGAGCGCAUCCUUGGUAAGGAUGAGGUCAGCGGUUCGAAUCCGCUCAAGGGCUCCA